GACGAACGCUGGCGGCGUGCCUAAUACAUGCAAGUCGAGCGAAGUUUUUCUGGUGCUUGCACUAGAAAAACUUAGCGGCGAACGGGUGAGUAACACGUAAAGAACCUGCCUCAUAGACUGGGACAACUAUUGGAAACGAUAGCUAAUACCGGAUAACAGUAUUUCUCGCAUGAGAGAUAUUUAAAAGUUGGUUAUGAUAACACUAUGAGAUGGCUUUGCGGUGCGUUAGCUAGUUGGUGGGGUAAAGGCCCACCAAGGCGACGAUGCAUAGCCGACCUGAGAGGGUGAUCGGCCACACUGGGACUGAGACACGGCCCAGACUCCUACGGGAGGCAGCAGUAGGGAAUCUUCCGCAAUGGGCGAAGGCCUGACGGAGCAACGCCGCGUGAGUGAAGAAGGAUUUCGGUUCGUAAAGCUCUGUUGUUAGGGAAGAAUGGAUAUGUAGUAACUAUACAUGUAAGAGACGGUACCUAACCAGAAAGCCACGGCUAACUACGUG
This 499-nucleotide ribosomal RNA is filed under the name uncultured bacterium. Its description in RNAcentral is "partial 16S ribosomal RNA". It matches the Rfam family "Bacterial small subunit ribosomal RNA", at positions 28 to 507 of the family's 1533-position model. The record is from RNAcentral.